RNAcentral lists this ribosomal RNA (504 nucleotides) under uncultured bacterium. Its description in RNAcentral is "partial 16S ribosomal RNA". It matches the Rfam family "Bacterial small subunit ribosomal RNA", at positions 28 to 523 of the family's 1533-position model. The record is from RNAcentral.
GAUGAACGCUAGCGGCAGGCCUAAUACAUGCAAGUCGAACGGGAUCUGAGGGUAGCUUGCUACCCGAUUUGAGAGUGGCGCACGGGUGCGUAACGCGUGAGCAACCUACCGAUAUCAGGGGGAUAGCCCGAAGAAAUUCGGAUUAAGACCGCAUAAUAAUACGCUAACACAUGUUGAUGUAUUUAAAUAUUUAUAGGAUAUGGAUGGGCUAGGGUGACAUUAGCUAGUUGGUAAGGUAACGGCUUACCAAGGCGACGAUGUCUAGGGGCUCUGAGAGGAGAAUCCCCCACACUGGUACUGAGACACGGACCAGACUCCUACGGGAGGCAGCAGUAAGGAAUAUUGGUCAAUGGGCGCAAGCCUGAACCAGCCAUGCCGCGUGCAGGAUGACUGCCCUAUGGGUUGUAAACUGCUUUUGUUAGGGAAUAAACCUUCUUACGUGUAAGGAGCUGAAUGUACCUAAAGAAUAAGGAUCGGCUAACUCCGUGCCAGCCGCCGCUGUAA